GACGAACGCUGGCGGCGUGCUUAACACAUGCAAGUCGAACGCUGAAGACCUGGCUUUUGUUGGGUUGGAUGAGUGGCGAACGGGUGAGUAACACGUGAGUAACCUGCCCUCUUCUUUGGGAUAACGCCCGGAAACGGGUGCUAAUACUGGAUAUUCACUGAUCUUCGCAUGGGGGUUGGUGGAAAGGUUUGUUCUGGUGGGGGAUGGGCUCGCGGCCUAUCAGCUUGUUGGUGGGGUGAUGGCCUACCAAGGCUUUGACGGGUAGCCGGCCUGAGAGGGUGACCGUGGACAUGAGGACUGGUACACGGUCCAGAGGGAGGCGGGAGGCGGCAGUGGUGAACAUAGCGCGAAAGGCGGAAGCAGGAUGCAGCGGCGGGGCGUGAAGGAUGGAGGCUUUCGGAUUGUUAAUCUCUUGCGCGAAUGGUAAAGCCUCAACUGUGGGUUGUGGUGAGGGUAGUGGGUAAAGAAGCGCCGGCUAACUACGUG
Molecule: ribosomal RNA, 486 nt
Filed under: uncultured bacterium
Lineage: Bacteria
Description: partial 16S ribosomal RNA
Rfam family: Bacterial small subunit ribosomal RNA
Source: RNAcentral